CGAAGUCACUGAUACCACGCUUCCAGGAAAAGCUCCUAAGCUUCAGCUUACGCAGACCGUACCGUAAACCGACACAGGUGGGUAGGAUGAGAAUUCUCAGGCGCUUGAGAGAACUCGGGUGAAGGAACUAGGCAACAUGGCACCGUAACUUCGGGAGAAGGUGCACCCUUUUUGGUGGCUCAUGCGAGCUAUAGCUGAAGAGGGUCGCAGUAACCAGGCCGCUGCGACUGUUUAUCAAAAACACAGCACUCUGCAAACACGAAAGUGGACGUAUAGGGUGUGACGCCUGCCCGGUGCUGGAAGGUUAAUUGAUGGGGUCAGCCGCAAGGCGAAGCUCUUGAUCGAAGCCCCAGUAAACGGCGGCCGUAACUAUAACGGUCCUAAGGUAGCGAAAUUCCUUGUCGGGUAAGUUCCGACCUGCACGAAUGGCGUAACGACAGCGGCGCUGUCUCCACCCGAGACUCAGUGAAAUUGAAAUCGCUGUGAAGAUGCAGCGUUCCCGUGGCAAGACGGAAAGACCCCGUGAACCUUUACUAUAGCUUUACACUGAACGUUGAGUUCGUCUGUGUAGGAUAGGUGGGAGGCUAUGAAACCAUGGCGCUAGCUGUGGUGGAGCCAUCCUUGAAAUACCACCCUGUCGUGCUUGACGUUCUAACCUGGGCCCAUUAUCUGGGUCGGGGACCGUGUAUGGUGGGUAGUUUGACUGGGGCGGUCUCCUCCUAAAGAGUAACGGAGGAGCUCGAAGGUACGCUCAGCGCGGUCGGACAUCGCGCACUGUGUGCAAAGGCAUAAGCGUGCUUGACUGCAAGAUCGACGGAUCAAGCAGGUAGGAAACUAGGACUUAGUGAUCCGGUGGUUCUGUAUGGAAGGGCCAUCGCUCAACGGAUAAAAGGUACUCCGGGGAUAACAGGCUGAUACCGCCCAAGAGUUCAUAUCGACGGCGGUGUUUGGCACCUCGAUGUCGGCUCAUCACAUCCUGGGGCUGUAGUCGGUCCCAAGGGUAUGGCUGUUCGCCAUUUAAAGUGGUACGCGAGCUGGGUUCAGAACGUCGUGAGACAGUUCGGUCCCUAUCUGCCAUGGGCGUUGGAGAUUUGAGAGGGGCUGCUCCUAGUACGAGAGGACCGGAGUGGACGAACCUCUGGUGUUCCGGUUGUCACGCCAGUGGCAUUGCCGGGUAGCUAUGUUCGGAAGCGAUAACCGCUGAAAGCAUCUAAGCGGGAAGCGCGCCUCAAGAUGAGAUCUCCCGGGGCACAAGCCCCCUGAAGGAACCAUGUAGACUACGUGGUUGAUAGGUCAGGUGUGUAAGUACAGCAAUGUAUUGAGCUAACUGAUACUAAUGAUCCGUGCGGCUUGACCAUAUAACCUCA
RNAcentral lists this ribosomal RNA (1367 nucleotides) under Stenotrophomonas maltophilia. Its description in RNAcentral is "bacterial LSU rRNA". It matches the Rfam family "Bacterial large subunit ribosomal RNA", at positions 1586 to 2925 of the family's 2925-position model. Lineage: Bacteria; Pseudomonadati; Pseudomonadota; Gammaproteobacteria; Lysobacterales; Lysobacteraceae. The record is from RNAcentral.